RNAcentral lists this ribosomal RNA (106 nucleotides) under Limanda limanda (common dab). RNAcentral's name for it is "partial 12S ribosomal RNA". Lineage: Eukaryota; Metazoa; Chordata; Actinopteri; Pleuronectiformes; Pleuronectidae. The record is from RNAcentral.
ACUAUGCUUAGCCCUAAACAUCGAUUGCACCAUACACUCCAUAUCCGCCCGGGAAUUAUGAACGUCAGUUUAAAACCCAAAGGACUUGGCGGUGCUUAACAUCCAG